This 197-nucleotide ribosomal RNA is filed under the name uncultured bacterium. Its description in RNAcentral is "partial 16S ribosomal RNA". It matches the Rfam family "Bacterial small subunit ribosomal RNA", at positions 328 to 539 of the family's 1533-position model. The record is from RNAcentral.
ACGCUCGACACCUACGGGAGGCAGCAGUGGGGAAUAUUGCACAAUGGAGGAAACUCUGAUGCAGCGAUGCCGCGUGAGGGAAGAAGGUUUUCGGAUUGUAAACCUCUGUCUUUGGGGACGAUAAUGACGGUACCCAAGGAGGAAGCUCCGGCUAACUACGUGCUAGCAGCCGCGUAAUCUGAGCGGGCUGGCAAGGC